Molecule: transfer RNA, 76 nt
Filed under: Paracoccaceae bacterium
Lineage: Bacteria; Pseudomonadati; Pseudomonadota; Alphaproteobacteria; Rhodobacterales; Paracoccaceae
Also listed under: 6 other names
Description: Rhodobacteraceae bacterium tRNA-Lys
Rfam family: tRNA
About the family: Transfer RNA (tRNA) molecules are approximately 80 nucleotides in length. Their secondary structure includes four short double-helical elements and three loops (D, anti-codon, and T loops).
Source: RNAcentral
GGGCCCGUAGCUCAGCUGGUAGAGCAGUUGACUCUUAAUCAAUUGGUCGCAGGUUCGAGUCCUGCCGGGCCCGCCA